RNAcentral lists this unclassified non-coding RNA (3655 nucleotides) under Hevea brasiliensis (rubber tree). Lineage: Eukaryota; Viridiplantae; Streptophyta; Magnoliopsida; Malpighiales; Euphorbiaceae. The record is from RNAcentral.
GCUUUCUGCAUGUUUGGUGUGGAAAUCUUUGAAUAAGCUUGAAAUUAUUAGAAAAUAUUCAAUAUCCACCUACCUUUACAUAAUUACAUGAAUGUGCGCCUAGUAUUACUAAAAGUUGCUGCACCUCUAGCAAUUUGCACUCCAAAUGGCCUGAUCUAGCUAAUAUGUGAAAAAUGUUGUAUUGAAUGCAGUUAGUGUGUCAGGGGGUUGGGGUUCUAUGUGCUGACAUUUUAUUUGCAUGAAUAGGUUAGAAAUGUUGAAGCUUUAAAUUCUCAUUAUGCGCAUGGAGAACAUAACUGAUAUUUUCAGAGAUGAAGCUAUUGGAUGCUAGACAGACAAAUAAGCAUGCCUAUAUUCACAGGGGAAUCUUACUCAUUUUUCCAUGCCUUCCAAGUUUCUUGAUGUGCUAUGGACAUUUUAGAGAAUUUCUUUUCCAUUUGAUGAAAUUCUUAGGGAAAUAUAUAAUGCAAGUGUUAAACUGAUAAAAAAAGGGAAAAGAAAAGGUUCUGAACUUAUCCAUCCAGUUACACUAAUUAAAGAACAAGAUAAAAGAAUGAUAAUGUAAAUGUGUUGUAUUUGCUCACAUUUGUGCUUGUCUUGCCAAGGUAUACGAGCAUACUGUUCUUGUUCUUAUAAAGAAAUCAGUGAGGUAAGUUUCUGGAACCAAAAAUUGAAAAUGCAAGAACUCAUGCUGACUUUUGACCUUUGCAUAUAUCAUUUUAUGAAUCAAGAUAGUAAAAUAUGAAACCAGGACAUGUUGAUUAUACUUCAAAACAAAUUAUUUUUUAUCUCUCUGAAAUCUUGAAGACUCCCUACCUGGAAAAUUUUAGAAUACAACCAUUGUUUGGUUGUACUGAAUAAAUUCUCCCCUUGCCCCUCCUCCCCACAAAUUUUCAAGAUUUUUAUCUACUGCCUUCUUUGGAUGAACAUCCCCAUAACCUAAUAUCGCUUACUUCUCUGACUUGCUUGUAUAUGAUACUGUUCACUUUCUAUCAAAGAAGUUUUGACAUAUUUCAUCUUUUCAGCUAAGACCUAGUGCUUCAUAAAUUGAGUAACAUAUUAACGUUCAUGUUAACAUCUUUUUCAACAGGGAAUGUCUGCUCCUUUAGUCUCUAAGAAACAUAUAUCAAAGAAAUUUGUUUGCAUGUAACAUUUGCUGCACGGUUAUCACCAGGGUUCUUUUUCACCUUUAGUUUGAGUCCUACAUUUUAUACUUCUCAAAAUCAAUAUGCUGCCUCUAAAAUUAGUGAUUCAUAUAACUCUUAUCAGAAUUCCUCGAGUCCAAGGUCUACAGAAGUUAGUUUAGGGAUAGUCAUUAAGGACAAUGGAUUUGACAUUACAACAGAGUUUAGCAGUUUGAGAAAGGACAAUGUUAGUUGAUUUUUGAGAGGCUCGAGGAGAACUGGAGAAGUCAAGUCUGAAUGGGGACAACAUGGAUGAAAUUGGUCCAUUCUGCAUUCAAGAAGGAGCCACAAAUGAUCUUGACCUUUUUUCCUAUGAAAGGCAUAUCCCCAAGAAGGAUUACUUUGUCAAUCAAGGUAAGUGUCUGGAUAUGAAUAUGGCAAUAUGCACAAAUCAUCAGGCACUUUGAUGCAUGUAAUGAACUUUUCUUGACCUGUUAUUGCAUAUGCUAUGCAUAGAUUGAGUAAAUACACCCAUAGUCCAAGUCAUGAUCAUGAGAAUGCGUUGAUGAAAAAUACUUAAAUACUUGAAAUAUACCAUGAAUUAUGGAAUAAUAUACAAUGGAUUUCCCAUUUUCCUUGAAGGAUAUUGUGAUGCAAAUUGGAUGCCACAUUUGUAUGAGUCCAUACUUCUGUUUUCACGCUUAGUGGGAGUGUAGUGGCUUGAAAGUCUGCAAAACAAUCCAUAUUUUCCAAGUUAAUUAUGGAAUUAGAGUUUAUAGCGUCAGAGAUGGUAAGCAAUGAAUCAAAAUGGCUAAGAAAUUACCCUAGUUAAAGGAUACAUUUUUUCUGCAAUUCAUUAGCGCAAAGGUUUGGUUGCUGGCUUUGUCAAGCUAAACGAAAUUUCAGUUGGAAACUGUUUGAUAGUUGUCUUCUGUUUACUUUAGGAUUUGACAAAGUGUUUCUACAAGCUCAAACACGUUGGCUGAAACCUUUAGUAGUGUUCUUCAUAUUACAAAUCAUGAAAGUUUUCACUUAUCAGAGCCACCUCUAACGCCACCUAGUAAGCAUUUGAUAUAUAAUUUGGACAAUUUAUUGAUGGUUUUCUUCACUGAUCAAGUCUACUAGCCUAUUUUUGUUGUUCUGAGUUCUUCAAUAGGUGGAUCUUGUUUCUUUUUAACAAAAGAGUCCUUUGGUUCUUUUGUGAAGAUGGUCAUAGUUGGUGUAAGACAAAGGACAGAAGAACUACUGGGGAAGCAUAUUAACGACUUAGGUUUGUUAUUAUGCCUAUGCAGAUGCCUUUAACUUUCUGUAGUGAGAACCCUGCUUCUAUUCCAUUAUAUGCUACUCCCCUUAAUUGCAUUUUGUAAAUUGUUUCAAUGUUGAUAAAUCAUUUCCCAACAGGCCAUGAUGACCUUACAUUUCUAAUUUUUUUUAUAUUCCUAAAAGCAAAAUAUUGGCAAACUGGCUGGAUAUGUCCUAUUCCUUAAUUUUAAAACUUUCUGCAUUAUUUUUAGCAUGGUGAUGCAAGUUCAAAAACUAGCAAAUAGUUUGACAAGAAAAAGACAAGGGAUAACUAAAACAUAAAAAAGAAUGUCAUAUGUCCAUGGUUAGAUUUAAAGAAAGGAAUGAGACUAUUUGAUUGUUAAGUAGAAACAUUUGCCAAAUUGGAAUUUUGCUGAUUGUUAUAUGAAAGUGAACCUACAAGAAAUGUCCAAAUGGAUUAUGCAUACAUGUGAGUAGUAGAUACUAAAGUGUUAGUGAUACGCGUCGAAUUGUUUCCUACAAAAUUGAAAGAUAUUGUUGGAUAAUUAGCUGCUUCACUUGUAUUUUUAUUUUAUAUGUUUAGUCAUUAACCUCCCCCAUACUUUUCUUUCUCAGAAAAUUUCUCAUACAUUAAUCAAAUUUCUCAAGUAGAAAAAUGUAAAGGUUCCUCUAUGCUGGUCUCUUGUUUUGUGAAAUUCUCAUGCUUCUUGAAUUGGUUGGCUGUAUUUGAAGUCUGUAAUGAAGCCUUGCUGCUGUGUUUUCUAUCAUUAGAUUUUUCAUUUGCUUGUGAUUGGGUAGUUGUGUUUCUAGGCUUGUACUAUGUUUCUACUCCAGGUUUUUUCACUUAGCAUGGGCUGUCCUAGGAAGGGUGUACUGGGGAGGUUGGAUGACCAGGGUUUAGUUGGACUUCACAUGCUAAUUUCUUCCAAGAUACAUUAAUAAAAUUUAUUUGCUUAUCGGAAAAAAAAAAUGUUAACGGUUCCUCCUGAAUCAUCUAGCCAGUUAUCACCCGUGUGCUAUUCUGUUUUGUGGCCUCCUCGCUCUUCCCCUUUAUGUGCAGGAUCUAGUUCUACCAUUCAAGUUCAAGGAUUUUGCCUUUGAUUUUACAUCUGAUGUUAAUACAAAUUGGGAAUUCUGUGCCUUUGUAGGUUGAAUAGGCUGGUAUGAAUCUUUAUGACUUAAUUGCCAAUCGUAGACUAAGAAAAUAUUUAAUUAUUGUCUUAUUGGUGUACAUAUUUUGUGAUAAAGUUUAGGCUUUUUGAAAGCUG